RNAcentral lists this ribosomal RNA (292 nucleotides) under uncultured bacterium. RNAcentral describes it as "partial 16S ribosomal RNA". It matches the Rfam family "Bacterial small subunit ribosomal RNA", at positions 505 to 796 of the family's 1533-position model. The record is from RNAcentral.
GUGUCAGCCGCCGCGGUAAUACGAAGGGGGCUAGCGUUGCUCGGAUUUACUGGGCGUAAAGGGCGCGUAGGCGGAUGUUUAAGUCGGGGGUGAAAGCCCAGGGCUCAACCCUGGAACUGCCUUCGAUACUGGACAUCUUGAGUACGGGAGAGGUGAGUGGAACUCCGAGUGUAGAGGUGAAAUUCGUAGAUAUUCGGAAGAACACCAGUGGCGAAGGCGACUCACUGGCCCGUUACUGACGCUGAGGCGCGAAAGCGUGGGGAGCAAACAGGAUUAGAUACCCCUGUAGUCC